CCCCUGGAAGACUAGUGGUUAGGCCUCGGUGCUCUCACCGCUGCAGCCCGGGUUCAAUUCCCGGUCAGGGAA
This 72-nucleotide transfer RNA is filed under the name Pangasianodon hypophthalmus (striped catfish). It matches the Rfam family "tRNA". From Rfam's summary of the family: Transfer RNA (tRNA) molecules are approximately 80 nucleotides in length. Their secondary structure includes four short double-helical elements and three loops (D, anti-codon, and T loops). Further hydrogen bonds mediate the characteristic L-shaped molecular structure. tRNAs have two regions of fundamental functional importance: the anti-codon, which is responsible for specific mRNA codon recognition, and the 3' end, to which the tRNAs corresponding amino acid is attached (by aminoacyl-tRNA synthetases). tRNAs cope with the degeneracy of the genetic code in two manners: having more than one tRNA (with a specific anti-codon) for a particular amino acid; and 'wobble' base-pairing, i.e. permitting non-standard base-pairing at the 3rd anti-codon position. The record is from Rfam by way of RNAcentral. Lineage: Eukaryota; Metazoa; Chordata; Actinopteri; Siluriformes; Pangasiidae.